CUGUGUCGGAAACCGCAUACUAUUCACACUCCAUACUGCGUUUACACUACUGCGUACUACAUAACCCACAAUGCAUUGCGCUGCUACCCGAGCCGAAAUCGACAGGCUGAAGCUAAUUUCACUUUAGCUCUAAACUCUUUAAAUACAUCACUUUAUUGAGAUUUUUUAAAAUCAGGCGAGAAAGCGGCCGUUUAGAUCCCGAGUGUGCCAUUUAUUUGUCCAAAUACCAACUGUUUACAAUUUCGUUACGACGAAUUCGGCAAAAAAUUAAGCUAGCCGAAGUGAGCAAAGCACUCUCGGUUAUUUUUACUUUUCUCACACUUGUCCAAAUACCAACUGUUUACAAUUUCGUUACGACGAAUUCGGCGAAAUUUAAGCUAGCCGAAGUGAGCAACGCACUUUCGGUUAUUUUUACUUUUCUCACACUUGUCCAAAUACCAACUGUUUACAAUUUCGUGACGACGAAUUCGGCGAAAUUUAAGCUAGCUGAAGUGAGCAACGCACUUUCGGUUAUUUUUACUUUUCUCAUACUUGUCCAAAUACCAACCGUUUACAAUUUCGUUACGACGAAUUCGGCAAAAUUUAAGCUAGCCUAAGUGAGCAAAGCACUUUCGGUUAUUUUUUCUCAUACAAAAAAACCCAUAGUGAUAAAUCACCGCUUUUACUUUGAAAACAAGAAGCCAACCAACUCGUAAUAUAUCCUGUCAUAUUUCCUGCUGUUUGAUCCUGCUGCUCUGUGGUCAGCCAACAUUUUUUUUUCACGGUCACGUCAUGUUGCAUCCUGGGUAAUUUGGGUAUGAGUAGUAAGCUGAUGAUACAUACUCGGAUACCCCAAAAUGGCAUACUGCAUACUCAAAAACAGUUAGUAUGAGUAGUAGGUAAGUAUGCAGUUUCCAACACAGCCAGUCUGUUUGUCUGGGUGGGUGGAGGCGGGGCCCGCUAGCAUACACACAGCGUGGGGCAAUGCAAGAAGGAAAGAAACUCGAACCAACCUGGUCAGGCGGUUGCACGUGUGUGAAUCCCUGGAAGAAGUGUGCGCCUCGCACACAGGUGAAGCUGCGCCUCGGGCCCGUGCUCGUGCUCCGGCGAGGUGGGCGCCCGGGUCACGUGGUCCAAGUCAUCCAGUAGGACCGCGGAGGGCUGCUUCCACUGCGCCUGCGUGAAAACGUCCUGCAGCGUCUGUCGCACCGUCUCCGCCCUUUUUCCUGAGAGAGGAGAAAACACACACGCGUUGUCUUGUCGCAUUAAACCCGCCAUGCAGCACAAGCGUGUCGUGUC
This is a long non-coding RNA of Doryrhamphus excisus (bluestripe pipefish), 1278 nucleotides long. RefSeq lists it as uncharacterized. NCBI's taxonomy places the organism in Eukaryota, Metazoa, Chordata, Actinopteri, Syngnathiformes, Syngnathidae. The record is from RefSeq and is a predicted model, not a curated record.